GUGUCAGCAGCCGCGGUAAGACGUAGGUGGCGAGCGUUGUCCGGAAUUACUGGGCGUAAAGGGCGUGUAGGCGGCCAUUUAAGUCAGGCGUGAAAGCCCUGGGCUUAACCUAGGGACUGCGUUUGAAACUGAGUGGCUUGAGGACAGGAGAGGAAAGCGGAAUUCCCAGUGUAGCGGUGAAAUGCGUAGAUAUUGGGAGGAACACCAGUGGCGAAGGCGGCUUUCUGGACUGUCCCUGACGCUGAGGCGCGAAAGCCAGGGGAGCGAACGGGAUUAGAUACCCCGGUAGUCCUGGCUGUAAACGAUGGGUACUAGGUGUGGGGGGUAUCGACCCCCUCCGUGCCGCAGUUAACACAAUAAGUACCCCGCCUGGGGAGUACGGCCGCAAGGUUGAAACUCAAAGGAAUUGACGGGG
RNAcentral lists this ribosomal RNA (415 nucleotides) under uncultured prokaryote. Its description in RNAcentral is "bacterial SSU rRNA". It matches the Rfam family "Bacterial small subunit ribosomal RNA", at positions 505 to 918 of the family's 1533-position model. The record is from RNAcentral.